Molecule: long non-coding RNA, 1364 nt
Filed under: Homo sapiens (human)
Lineage: Eukaryota; Metazoa; Chordata; Mammalia; Primates; Hominidae
Description: non-protein coding UBA6-AS1:24
Source: RNAcentral
AGAUGUAGAUGGAACCAAAGUCCAGAAGUUACGCGUCACCCUUGCUCUACAGCCAAACAUGCAGGACUCUAGUAACCCGCGAAAUGAUGGGAUAGCGUUGCAAAUCCUUAAAAGAGUCUUAACGAAAUCCUGGCUGACAUUGACUUCUCCACUGCAACCAUCGAGUUCAUUGUCUCCUAAACCUUGCCAUGGAGGCCUGUGGCACCUGAGCCAGCCAUUAUCAUCACCAGCACUUCCAUGAGCUACAAGCUGGACCCACUGCAGUCCUCCUGACACACUGAAAUCAGAGCCUGCACACAGAGCAGCAGAUGCUUCAAUGUAAAGGUCAUUUCCAGCUAUGUGUUCCAAGAUUACUGAAGCAGGAUUCUGGCCUUCCUGAUAAGAACAUGACCAGAUCCAGCUGGUUUGCAACAAGAUGAACUUCAGUGCUGAGCUUUCACCAAGUUUUUCUCACUACAAUCUCAUUGUAAUACUAAAAUCUCCACCCAAGAUGGAGGUUAUCUGCCAUUUUCUGUACAUGUGUUACCAGAAAGGGGUCCUGAUCCAGACCCCAAAAGAGGGUUCUUGGAUCUCACGCAACAAAGAGUUCGGGGCGAGUCCAUAGAGUAAAGUGAAAGCAAGUUCAUCAAGAAAGCAAAGGAAUAAAGAAUGCCUACUCCAUAGGCAGAGCAGUGGCUUUGGCUGCUCAGCUGCUUGUACUUGUUACUUCUUGAGUAUAUGCUAAACAAGGGAUUGAUUACUCCUUGUUUAGCAGUUUUCUGGGAAAGGAGUGGGCAAUUCCCAGAACUGAGGGUUCCUCCCCUUUUUAGACCAUAUAGGGUGACUUCCUGAUGUUGCCAUGGCAUUUGUAAACUGUCAUGGCGCUAGUGGGAGUGUCUUUUAGCAUGCUAAUGCAUGAGCAGUGAGGAUGACCCGAGGUCAUUUUUGUUACCAUCUUGGUUUUGGUGGGUUUUGGCUGGUUUUGGCCGGCUUCUUUACCACUUCUUUUUAUCAGCAAGGUCUUUGUGACCUGUACUUAGUGCCGACUUCCUGUCUCAUCCUGUGAGUAAGAAUGCCUAAUCUCUCAGGAAUGCAGCCCAGUAGGUCUCAACCUUAUUUUACCCAGCCCCCAUUCAAGAUGGAGUGACUCUGGUUCAAAUGCCUCUGACACAUGUGCCUCAUGUUUGGGCAUGAGACCUCACUGUGUAGGUGCAGAGAAGACCCUGCCUAAACAUUGCCUACACGUUGCUCCUUUUUCCUGCCUCAACUUCCUUAAAAUGACAAGAGCAGAGCCCUUUUGGGAGCUAACAUCAGGACUCCUUUUCUGUACUCUGCUCCGUUGUGCUGCUAGAGCCACAAGCCUAUUAAACUUUGCCUGAAAUAAA